Molecule: long non-coding RNA, 387 nt
Filed under: Gallus gallus (chicken)
Lineage: Eukaryota; Metazoa; Chordata; Aves; Galliformes; Phasianidae
Description: lncRNA (ENSGALG00010010798.1)
Source: RNAcentral
CUUACUUUAAACUGCCCUGUUUUUGUCUGAGGUGUAACCUGGUAACAAUCCCACCUUACUGCUGUGAAGUGUCUAAUUCAGUCUGAAGAUCAACAUGAUCUGAGAUGCUGAAUCAAUAGAAAAAUAGAUAAUUCCCAAAAUAACAAACAUUUUUGUUAAGUAUACUUCAGUGAAAAUCAGAAAUGAGAAGAUUUUCAAGGAGAUCAUUUCAGAGAAUGCUGGCAACAGGACCUGUAAUCUCAUAAACGAAUUUAUAAAGCUGUCAACAAGGACUUGGUGCGGAUCAGCUGCAUAGGAGCAGUUCACACCCAGGGAGCCUUCACAGAAAGCCUUUGUUCUUCUGGUAAGAGUGCCAAACAAGAAUGCAAUCAACUGCAGACUUCUGCC